CACGGGGGUUGCGAGCGUUGUCCGGAAUUACUAGGCGUAAAGGGCAGGUAGGCGGAUCUACGAGUUUUUUGUUAAAGGCUACGGCUUAACUGUAGUAAGGCAGGAGAUACUGUAGGUCUGGAAUGCGGUAGGGGAAGACAGAAUUCCUGGUGUAGCGGUGGAAUGCGCAGAGAUCAGGAGGAAUACCGAAGGCGAAGGCAGUCUUCUAGGCCGUAAUUGACGCUUAACUGCGAAGGUGGGGGGAUCAAACAGGAUUAGAUACCCUGGUAGUCCACACAGUAAACGAGAAUCACUAGAUGUCGGAUUCUAGAUGGAUUCGGUGUCGGAGCUAACGCGAUAAGUUAUCCACCUGGGGAGUACGACCGCAAGGUUGAA
RNAcentral lists this ribosomal RNA (375 nucleotides) under uncultured bacterium. RNAcentral describes it as "bacterial SSU rRNA". It matches the Rfam family "Bacterial small subunit ribosomal RNA", at positions 524 to 898 of the family's 1533-position model. The record is from RNAcentral.